This is a non-coding RNA of Spiroplasma melliferum KC3, 100 nucleotides long. The record is from Rfam. Lineage: Bacteria; Bacillati; Mycoplasmatota; Mollicutes; Entomoplasmatales; Spiroplasmataceae.
UAUAAAAAUAAAUGAUAUACCUGUAUAUACUAGUAAUAUGGUCUAGUGUUUCUACGUCUUACCAUUGGAAGAAGACGCUAUAGGUUAAUGCUUUUGCUUU